AGUGAACGCUGGCGGUAGGCCUAACACAUGCAAGUCGAACGGCAGCACAGUAAGAGCUUGCUCUUACGGGUGGCGAGUGGCGGACGGGUGAGGAAUACAUCGGAAUCUACUUUUUCGUGGGGGUGAAGUAAGGGAAAUUUAGCUAAUUACCCCUUCCAACCACGGGGUGCAACCAGGGAACCUUCGACCCUGGCGCGAUUAAAGAACCCGUUGUCGGUUUAGUUAGUUGGCGGGUUAAAGGCCCACCAGGGCGACGAUCCGUAGCUGGUCUGAGAGGAUGAUCAGCCACACUGGAACUGAGACACGGUCCAGACUCCUACGGGAGGCAGCAGUGGGGAAUAUUGGACAAUGGGCGCAAGCCUGAUCCAGCCAUACCGCGUGGGUGAAGAAGGCCUUCGGGUUGUAAAGCCCUUUUGUUGGGAAAGAAAAGCAGCAGGUUAAUACCCCGCUGUUCUGACGGUACCCAAAGAAUAAGCACCGGCUAACUUCGU
RNAcentral lists this ribosomal RNA (491 nucleotides) under uncultured bacterium. Its description in RNAcentral is "partial 16S ribosomal RNA". It matches the Rfam family "Bacterial small subunit ribosomal RNA", at positions 29 to 506 of the family's 1533-position model. The record is from RNAcentral.